AUCCAUUCAGAUAGUUUAAAGUGCUAAAUCACUCUAGAAUUCUUAUUGAAAAGAUAGCACAUCUAUGCCAUUUAUCCUAUUUUAUUACCCAGAGAAAUCUGGCUUCACCGUUUUCUAUGUUUUUAAGCUGAUUUUCUUUCCCUGAGCACUGCUGCCUGUACAUUAGCUCUUUCUGUCCUCUGUGGCUCUAUUUUGCCUGAGCUCUGGGAUCUUUACAUCUCCUCGUGUUUGUAGAGCUUCAUUAUGUUCAAUAACUUCGUGCUACAUUUUGAUCAUAAUUUUCUUUCCUUCUGAUAUAUUUUUUACUCAGCACUAUUUUGGAUAAACAUUUAAAAAACAACUUUAUUGAGACAUAAUUCUUGUGCCAGACAAUUUCCUCAUUUAAAUCACUUUAAAUGUGUAACCGAAUCCCUUUUAGUAUAUUCACAAACAAGGUCAGUCAUCAGCCCGGUAAAUUGCAAUAUCUCUUCAUUUCAAAAAGAAACCCUGAACCCUAUGGCUAUCACCGAGUGCCUCUCCACCCCAUUCUCAGCCCCAGGAAUCAUUCUGAUUUCUCCACAUUCUCACCAGUGCUGAUUAUUAUCUGACUCUGAUUCUAGCAAUUCUAGUUUGUGUGAAGUGGUAUCUCAUUGUGGUUUUAAUUUGCAUUUUGCUAAUGGCUAAUGAUGUGGAACAUAUUUUCAUGUGUUUAUCAGCUAUUGAUGUCCCUUCCUUGGAGAAACGUCUAGUCAGAUUUUUUAUUCAUUUUUUAACGGGGUUAUUUGUAUUUUUAUUGAGAUUUAAAUGUUCAUUAAAUAUUCCGCUUACAAGUUUCUUAUGAGAUACAUGAAAUUGCAAAUACUUUCUCCUGUUCUGCGGAUUAUCUUAUUUUCUUUAAAGCAAAAUUUUUUUAUUUUAAUAAAAUCCAAUUUAAAAUUUUUGGUCAUGAGAUAGAUAGAUAGAUAGAUAGACAGAUAGACAGAUAGAUAAUGACUUAUUUGGGAGGGCUUGCCUUGGAAGCUAU
RNAcentral lists this long non-coding RNA (1003 nucleotides) under Callithrix jacchus (white-tufted-ear marmoset). RNAcentral's name for it is "lncRNA (ENSCJAG00000070991.1)". Lineage: Eukaryota; Metazoa; Chordata; Mammalia; Primates; Cebidae. The record is from RNAcentral.